GCCUUAAACUGCCCUCGGUUAAUUUUCCAGAAAAACCUAAAUUAAAUACAUAUUAACUGUGGCGGUUGCCUUAAAAUGCCUGCCUCGGUUAAUGUUCAUGAAAAAACCCAAAAAACUAAAAAACUUGCAACUUUGCAGAAUCAAACCUAAGACCUCUCAUUCAACACUAUCACCCUCUACCACCACACCACACAGUUAUUUAUGUAUAUAUAUAAUACACUAUCUUUUUAUAUCAAUAUUUCGUAAUCUUACACUUGGUAUUUUUACUACUAAAUAAACUCAAACGAAAAAACUUCUAACCACAAAGUUUUAAAUCUUGUCGAGUACUACAACUUUGGUAUAUCAUGGAUCGCUAUCAGAGGUAGUUUGAAAAAAAUCAAAAAAUUAAGCCUUAAAAUAUGUGAAUUUCAAACACAUAUUUGAGACUCUAGGUGACUUUAAAUCAAAAACUCAUAAAUAUCAAACUUGUAGAUC
This 474-nucleotide long non-coding RNA is filed under the name Sorghum bicolor (sorghum). Its description in RNAcentral is "long non-coding RNA (SBIC_LNC009173)". Lineage: Eukaryota; Viridiplantae; Streptophyta; Magnoliopsida; Poales; Poaceae. The record is from RNAcentral.